GCGAAGGCGAACUCCUCGGCGGCCUCCACCAGCUCCACCGUGCAGCCCUCCAGGAUGACGACGCCCGCCGGCUCGCGGCUGGCCGCGUCCUCGAAGUAGAAGAGCAUGUUGCCGCGCAGCACGAACCAGCGGCGCAGGAGCGAUUUAAACCGCCUCGGAGUUUCACCUGCUCCUUAUUAAUAACCAGGACGUACUGCACGCUGGCACAGGGCCGAGUUCCUUUGACCCAGACCAUCAUAUUGAACUCUCCAGCCGAGGCUCAGAGAGGAAAAGAAACCGAGAUGACAUGGCUAACCUGAACUCAAACCGCAAGGAAGUGGAUUUGAACCCAGGCGGUCUGGAUUCUACACCUUGCUGCCCGUUAGGGUUCGCUCGCCGACAAUCUGUUUCCCGGCACAAGAACAGAGACAGUGUCUGUCGUCUUCGCCAUUGUAUCCCCAGUGCAUGGGACAGGGCCCAGCACGUAGUGGAGGCUCAAAAAUCCCAGCCUGCUGGGCAGAGUGUCCUCCUGCCCCCAUGGGGCCCCAGCUCCUCUCAGCCUGCCCAACUCCUGGCUCUCCCAACUUCCAACCCCAGGACCAUACCCUCGUCUCCUGUUUCAGUUCUGGAGACUGGGAAGCUGAGAUGGAGACGCUGGCAGAUUCGGUGACUGGUGAGCGCCCCCCGUUCUGGUUCACAGACGGUGCCUUCCAGCUGUAACCUCACGUGGCAGAGCUGGAGGGAGCCCUCUGGGGUCUCUCUCACAAGGGCACUAAUCCCAUGCACGCGGCCUCUGCCUCCUGCCCCAAUCACCCCCCUAACACCGUCGCCUGGGGGUAAGGAUUUCAACGUGAAUUUGUGGGGGGCUGGAAACAUUCAGUCCAGUGUCGCAGCCGUUGCCCGGCCAGGGGGCAGCCCCGGGCUCAGGCCUGCUCCUCACCUGUGGCCCAGACCGUGUUCCCAGCAGGGGGAGGACGGGUCUGCAGAAGCACACUCCACAGCUGUGGACAUCGAGGCCUCCACGCACCGGCUGGUAACCUUGGGAGGAGUCUUUGCUCUCCAGCCUCAGGGUCCCCAUCUGUACAAUGGGCGUGAGGGUCUGUCUCCCACAGGGCAAGUCUCUGUGACCAGCAUGCUCCACAGCCACCCCUGAGGGAUGUACGACUCACAUCCACUUACAGUCGUGCCUCGAUUAACAACAGGGACACAUCCUGAGAAAUGUGUUGUUAGGCAAUUUUGUCAUUGUGCAAACAUCAAAGAGUGUGCUCAC
Molecule: long non-coding RNA, 1249 nt
Organism: Equus caballus (horse)
Lineage: Eukaryota; Metazoa; Chordata; Mammalia; Perissodactyla; Equidae
Source: RefSeq, a predicted model, not a curated record